GCACUCCAAGGAUAUCCUCCUCGUUCUUUAUCCCAUCAGGAAAAAUUCCAGGUAAAACGUACAAUGGAGAUGUACCUAAAUCACCAUAAACAACACCAAUGCAUUGAAACGCAAGCUUCCAGAUUGUUCCCCAAUCUGCCUUCUGCCGAACAGCAUUAGCGCUACCUUCAUCUGCCUCCAAAUCGAAUAAUCUUUGUUUAGAUAGGCUUUUU
This 212-nucleotide unclassified non-coding RNA is filed under the name Hevea brasiliensis (rubber tree). The record is from RNAcentral. Lineage: Eukaryota; Viridiplantae; Streptophyta; Magnoliopsida; Malpighiales; Euphorbiaceae.